GCCUGGUGGCUGUGGGGCCCAGCACAGAGCAGAGGGGACACGAGGGGACACGAGGGGACACGGACUCUCCCCGAGGGGCACCUUCCACCCAGCACCGGGCAGUGCCACUGGGAAACUCCUGUCGCUCAUUGCCUGCAUUUCCCAGGCACUGCAGAGGUUUCUGAGCCCACCUGCACCGCUCUGAGCUGUGCCACUGCCCAGCAGGCCCUGGGGACACGAGGGACACUCCAGGCAGGGCAGUGUGACACUGUGGGUGCACUGGGGACACCGGGGACAGUGGGGACACCAGGGACAUGGGGACACACGGACACAGGGACACACAAACACAGGGACACACAAACACAGGGACACACAGACACAGACACACAGGGACACACAGACACAGGGACACACGGACACAGGGACACAGGGACACAGGGACACAGGGACACAAGGACACAGGGACACAGGGACACAGGGACACAUGGACACAGGGACACAGGGACACAGGGACACAGGGACACAGGGACACACAGACACAGGGACACACGGACACAGGGACACAGGGACACAGGGACACAGGGACAGGCAGCUUGGCCGUCUCAGUGUAAACAUCCCCGGAGGUGGAGCUGGGCAGCCGGGGCUGGUUCUGCUCGGAGCCACCGAGCCCUGCUGGAUUUUCCUCAGCCACAGGAGGCCGAGCCCUGCCCUUGGGACAGCCACAGCAGAUCUGAUAUUUCAAAGAUCCACAGAAUCACAGAGUUAUUUAGGUUGGAACAGACCUCCAGGAUCCCUGAGCCCAAGCUUUGGCUGAUCCUUGGGUUUGAAUGCUUAAAGUUGUGGCAUUACAGGCUGCAGGUCCCUCUCAGUCCUGGGGCACAGAGCAGAGCCCCAGUGCUCUGGGGAGGGGGUGGAGGGGGGCUGGGAUCCAGGUUUGGAGCAUUCCCAUCCCGGGUGAUGCCCUGGGGUGGUGGGGCUCUGUGCCAGGGCAUUUCCAGCCCCAAGCCCUGCAGGUGCAGCCCUGGCUCAGUGAAGCCUCUCUGGGCACUGCACGGGGCUCAGCCCUGGCCCUGUGGCAGCUCCCUCGGUGUGGGGCUGGGCACAGCUGGGCACUGCCAGGCUCUGACCUCCCCCCGAGGCCAGGAUGGGACAAAGCCGUGCCCAAAUGUGGGCAGAGGGUUUUUCCAGGCCUGCUUUUGUCUCUGUUCACGUUCAGAGCCAGGGAACUACAAACAAUCAGGCAAAAUGCACCCGACUCCAACCUGUCACAUAAACCACGAGCUGCUGGGAAUGACAUCCUCCCCUGAAAAGCCACUCCAAGUGGGGAUGAACACUUCCCUUCGUCUGCCAGCCCAGAGCUGUUAUAAAUGCUGGAUUUAUUUGUCCCGAUGGAUGCAUGGAAGAACUGCGGCUCCUCGGAGCAAACAGCCUGUGUGGGGAGGGGGGGCAAGGUCUGUCCAACCACUCUGUUUACAGAAAGUCAAAAUAACUGGGGCUUCUAGCCCUGGCCACGAUGGGUUCUUCAAACAAAGCAGCCCCAAACAUAAAUACAUUGUCUUUCACAAAAUGCAUUUGGGCAUAUUUGACAUAUUUCAUAUUCAGAGCAGCUCUUUCAUGUUGUGCCCUGGAGCGCAGGGGGGGCUCAGCUCCUGCACCCCCGUCACUGCUGGGGCUGCUCUGUCUUCCUGA
RNAcentral lists this long non-coding RNA (1668 nucleotides) under Cyanistes caeruleus (blue tit). RNAcentral describes it as "lncRNA (ENSCCEG00000005561.1)". Lineage: Eukaryota; Metazoa; Chordata; Aves; Passeriformes; Paridae. The record is from RNAcentral.